GCUGCGGAAGGAUCAUUACUGAUUUGCUUAAUUGCACCACAUGUGUUUUUUAUUGAACAAAUUUCUUUGGUGGCGGGAGCAAUCCUACCGCCAGAGGUUAUAACUAAACCAAACUUUUUAUUUACAGUCAAACUUGAUUUAUUAUUACAAUAGUCAAAACUUUCAACAACGGAUCUCUUGGUUCUCGCAUCGAUGAAGAACGCAGCGAAAUGCGAUACGUAAUAUGAAUUGCAGAUAUUCGUGAAUCAUCGAAUCUUUGAACGCACAUUGCGCCCUUUGGUAUUCCAAAGGGCAUGCCUGUUUGAGCGUCAUUUCUCCCUCAAACCCCCGGGUUUGGUGUUGAGCAAUACGCUAGGUUUGUUUGAAAGAAUUUAACGUGGAAACUUAUUUUAAGCGACUUAGGUUUAUCCAAAACGCUUAUUUUGCUAGUGGCCACCACAAUUUAUUUCAUAACUUUGACCUCAAAUCAGGUAGGACUACCCGCUGAACUUAAGCAUAUCAUAAGCCGGGAAGAAAAAAGAUCAUUACGGAUUUGCUUAAUUGCACAAAGUGUUUUUUUAUUGAACAAAUUUCUUUGGUGGCGGGAGCAAUCUACGCCAGAGGUUAUUACUAAACCAAACUUUUUAUUUACGGUCAAACUUGAUUUAUUAUUACAAUAGUCAAAACUUUCACAACGG
This 677-nucleotide ribosomal RNA is filed under the name Candida sp. QAUCT06. Its description in RNAcentral is "eukaryotic LSU rRNA". The stretch from base 158 to 311 matches the Rfam family "5.8S ribosomal RNA". The record is from RNAcentral. Lineage: Eukaryota; Fungi; Ascomycota; Pichiomycetes; Serinales; Debaryomycetaceae.